CCUGCCAGUAGUUAUACGCUUGUUUCAAAGAUUAAGCCAUGCACGUGUAAGUAUAAUCUCACGAGAAACUGCGAAUGGCUCAUUAAAUCAGUUAUAGUUUAUUUGAUAGUGGAGUUUUACAUGGAUAACCGUAGAAAUUCUAGAGCUAAUACAUGCGUCAAGACCCGACUUUGCGGAAGGGUUGUAUUUAUUAGAUUCAAAACCAGCGGCAGGGCAACCUGUCUUGUGUGGUGAUUCAUAAUAACUGAGCGGAUCGCAUAGGGGGCCUGAGAAAUGGCCACCACAUCCAAGGAAGGCAGCAGGCGCGUAAAUUACCCAAUACCGACACGGUGAGGUAGUGACAAUAAAUAACAAUGCGGGCUCUUACGAGCUCCGUAAUUGGAAUGAGUACAAUUUAAAAACCUUAACGAGAACCCAUUGGAGGGCAAGUCUGGUGCCAGCAGCCGCGGUAAUUCCAGCUCCAAUAGCGUAUAUUAAAGUUGCUGCAGUUAAAAAGCUCGUAGUUGGAUUUGGAGGGGUGAAGCAAAGGGGUGGGGCCCUCCGGGGCGCCGCCCUGCACCUCUUUGCCCGCAAGGGCAGAUGCCCGAUGAUUGGCGGCGUGCCCUUGAGUGGGUGCGGCGACAAGUCGGGGAGUUUACUUUGAAAAAAUUAGAGUGUUCAAAGCAGGCUUUUCAAUGCUUGGAUAGAUUAGCAUGGGAUAAUGGAAAACGAUUUUGGUCGAGUUUUGUUGGUGUUUGGUGACCGAAGUAAUGAUUAAUAGGGAUAGUUGGGGGCAUUAGUAUUUAAUUGUCAGAGGUGAAAUUCUUGGAUUUAUGAAAGACUAACUACUGCGAAAGCAUUUGUCAAAGAUGUUUUCAUUAAUCAAGAACGAAAGUUAGGGGAUCGAAGACGAUUAGAUACCGUCGUAGUCUUAACCAUAAACGAUGCCGACUAGGGACCAGUGGAGUGCGGGGGUCCGCAAGGGCAGCCGCGUGUGUGAAUGCAAAUGAGCACAGCAUUGGGACCUUUAUGAGAAAUCGAUAAGUUUUUGGGUUCUGGGGGGAGUAUGGUCGCAAGGCUGAAACUUAAAGGAAUUGACGGAAGGGCACACAAGGAGUGGAGCCUGCGGCUUAAUUUGACCCAACACGGGGAAACU
RNAcentral lists this ribosomal RNA (1135 nucleotides) under uncultured soil eukaryote. RNAcentral describes it as "SSU rRNA". It matches the Rfam family "Eukaryotic small subunit ribosomal RNA", at positions 13 to 1215 of the family's 1831-position model. The record is from RNAcentral.